Molecule: ribosomal RNA, 453 nt
Filed under: uncultured bacterium
Lineage: Bacteria
Description: SSU rRNA
Rfam family: Bacterial small subunit ribosomal RNA
Source: RNAcentral
AGAGCGAACGCUGGCGGCAGGCUUAACACAUGCAAGUCGAGCGCCCGUAGCAAUACGGGAGCGGCAGACGGGUGAGUAACACGUGGGAACAUGCCCUUCGGUUCGGAAUAACUCAGGGAAACUUGAGCUAAUACCGAAUACGCCCUUACGGGGAAAGAUUUAUUGCCGAAGGAUUGGCCCGCGUCCGAUUAGCUAGUUGGUGAGGUAAUGGCUCACCAAGGCGACGAUCGGUAGCUGGUCUGAGAGGAUGAUCAGCCACAUUGGGACUGAGACACGGCCCAAACUCCUACGGGAGGCAGCAGUGGGGAAUAUUGGACAAUGGGCGCAAGCCUGAUCCAGCCAUGCCGCGUGGGUGACUUGAAGGCCUUAGGGUCGUAAAGCCCUUUCGGACGGGGAAGAUAAGUGACGGUACCCGUAGAACGAAGCCCCGGCUAACUUCGUGCCAGCAGCCGC